This 70-nucleotide transfer RNA is filed under the name Ictidomys tridecemlineatus (thirteen-lined ground squirrel). RNAcentral describes it as "Spermophilus tridecemlineatus (thirteen-lined ground squirrel) tRNA". It matches the Rfam family "tRNA". From Rfam's summary of the family: Transfer RNA (tRNA) molecules are approximately 80 nucleotides in length. Their secondary structure includes four short double-helical elements and three loops (D, anti-codon, and T loops). Further hydrogen bonds mediate the characteristic L-shaped molecular structure. tRNAs have two regions of fundamental functional importance: the anti-codon, which is responsible for specific mRNA codon recognition, and the 3' end, to which the tRNAs corresponding amino acid is attached (by aminoacyl-tRNA synthetases). tRNAs cope with the degeneracy of the genetic code in two manners: having more than one tRNA (with a specific anti-codon) for a particular amino acid; and 'wobble' base-pairing, i.e. permitting non-standard base-pairing at the 3rd anti-codon position. The record is from Rfam by way of RNAcentral. Lineage: Eukaryota; Metazoa; Chordata; Mammalia; Rodentia; Sciuridae.
GGGGAUCUAGCUUAGUUGGUAGAGUGCUUGCCUCAAAUGCACAAGGCCCUGGGUUCAACUCCCAGCACCA